UACGGAGGGUGCGAGCGUUGUCCGGAAUCACUGGGCGUAAAGGGCGCGUAGGCGGCCUGAUAAGUAGGGGGUGAAAUCCUGCGGCUUAACCGCAGGGCUGCCUUCUAAAACUGUCAGGCUAGAGCACAGUAGAGGCAGGUGGAAUUCCCGGUGUAGCGGUGGAAUGCGUAGAGAUCGGGAAGAACAUCAGUGGCGAAGGCGGCCUGCUGGGCUGU
Molecule: ribosomal RNA, 215 nt
Filed under: uncultured bacterium
Lineage: Bacteria
Description: partial 16S ribosomal RNA
Rfam family: Bacterial small subunit ribosomal RNA
Source: RNAcentral